AUGACUGUUUCCAGCAAAAAACAAAUCUGUUCUAAUCAGUUUAAUAUCUGAUACGUCAUAAUAAAUUGAAUUUCAGAACAGGGAGAUGGAAUAGGGGCUUGCUCCGUCCACUCCACGCAUCAGUACUUCCAGGAACGGUGCACCCCCC
This 148-nucleotide small nuclear RNA is filed under the name Salarias fasciatus (jewelled blenny). Its description in RNAcentral is "U2 spliceosomal RNA (ENSSFAG00005019019.1)". It matches the Rfam family "U2 spliceosomal RNA". Rfam says of the family: U2 is a small nuclear RNA (snRNA) component of the spliceosome (involved in pre-mRNA splicing). Complementary binding between U2 snRNA (in an area lying towards the 5' end but 3' to hairpin I) and the branchpoint sequence (BPS) of the intron results the bulging out of an unpaired adenosine, on the BPS, which initiates a nucleophilic attack at the intronic 5' splice site, thus starting the first of two transesterification reactions that mediate splicing. Lineage: Eukaryota; Metazoa; Chordata; Actinopteri; Blenniiformes; Blenniidae. The record is from Rfam by way of RNAcentral.